RNAcentral lists this long non-coding RNA (388 nucleotides) under Lactuca sativa (garden lettuce). RNAcentral describes it as "long non-coding RNA (LSAT_LNC006265)". Lineage: Eukaryota; Viridiplantae; Streptophyta; Magnoliopsida; Asterales; Asteraceae. The record is from RNAcentral.
AUUCUGGGGUGCUGACCUACCCAUGCGGCCAUUCUGGAGUGCCAUCCUACCCAUGNCAUUCUGGGGUGCCGACCUACCCAUGCGGCCAUUCUGGGGUGUCGUCCUUCCCGUCUCAAGCCAUUCUGGGGCGCUGACCUACCCGUAUCGAGCCAUUCUGGGGUGCUGACUACCCAUCGGUCCUAACAACCGAACCUCGGGGACUAGUCCCCUCCUACUACCUCUAUCGCAUAUAACAUAACAAGCCAGCAUGCAAACAUAUCAUCACAUACUGUCAGACGUAUCUGGGGUGUCUGCUACCCUUCGGUCCUAACAACCGAACUCUACUACUAUCACAUACAACAUAUCAUGCUAGCAUAUAACAUAUCAGGUAGUAGCAAGCCUAGAUGAU